UAUGUAUCAAAAUUUUAUUGGUCAAUAAAAUUUGUAAUUACAAAAAUGUUCAUUUUUGUUUUUGUGUGGAAUCAUAAAUUGUUAACAAGUGUAUUUUGGUCUAAAUUAUUUCAAAAUGGACAUUUUUACAACAAUUUGCAAUGGUGGACAUAUUUGCAAAUAGAUAUAUGAAAGUUGACAUUUCUAGUAAUUUCCUCUUUUUAAAGUAAUGAUUAUGUUGCAAUGGUUUAAAAAUAAAGCUAUGUGUAAAACAUUGGUUGACAAUAGUCCGUUGUCAAAAUUCAAGUCAGUGAUGUAGAAAACAAUUUUUAAAAUGUAUUAAUAUGAUGAUGGCAAAUAGGAUAUUGUCAACAAAUAUUGUACAUAUAUCAGGAUUCAAGAUUUAAACAUGGUAAAAGGAUUUUAAAUUAUUUCUCCAUGUACAAAUACAUAAAAGUCCUAGGGAUAGAAGUAGAACAAGAACUAAGAGAACGUUACAAAAUUAUAUUUAUUCGUUCAUCGAAUCAAGCUACAAUCAAGAUCUUACAUGAAUUUUAACUAUACAUUUACAUAUAAACUUUGAAUCAAGAUCCUACAUUCUAAACUAUAAGUUGACAAAAACUCGAAAUAGUAUGAAAUGGGAUUAUAAUGACCAUUGGUAUUUGCCUAGCUAAGGGUUCCAUGUGAUUAAGCUCUUAAAGAUUCAUAUUGAUUUGGUUAUUCCAGAGUAACUAUAGAGAUUUAGCUGACGUUGCCCCUCUUAAUCCUAAAUUAAGAUCCUUUAAUGAAUUGCAACAUUUCAUUUGUAAAACUUAAUUUAAAUUGAGUAGAAUUAUUUUAUAUUAUCCGUGUCUCUAUAAGAAAGUUGGGUUGACACAAACACCUAAUCAAAUUAGUUUUAAUCCAAUUUUAUAUAAAUUGAACAAAAGUACAACUUCAAUGCAUUUUAUGAAUUGUAAUAUAGGUAGCUUCUAAAUAGAAAGAUUUAGAUUUAU
Molecule: long non-coding RNA, 974 nt
Filed under: Olea europaea subsp. europaea
Lineage: Eukaryota; Viridiplantae; Streptophyta; Magnoliopsida; Lamiales; Oleaceae
Source: RNAcentral